GACGAACGCUGGCGGCAUGCUUAACACAUGCAAGUCGAACGGAAAGGCCCUGCUUUUGUGCGGUGCUCGAGUGGCGAACGGGUGAGUAACACGUGAGUACCCUGCCCUUGACUUUGGGAUAACUUCAGGCAACUGGGGCUAAUACCGGAUAGGAGCUCCUGCUGCAUGGUGGGGGUUGGAAAGUUUCGGCGGUUGGGGAUGGACUCGCGGCUUCUUAGCUUGUUGGUGGGGUAGUGGCUUACCAAGGCCUGGACGGGUAGCCGACCUGCGCGGGUGGCCGGCCAAGCUGGGCCUGAAAUAAGACACAGACUCCAACCGUAGGCAAGGGAGGAGAGUAUUACAUAAGAGGAGGAAGCCAGGUGUAGUCACGCCGUGUGCGGGAAGACGGGCUGGGGGUAGGAAACCGCUUCUGCUUUUGACGAGACGGGAAUGACGGUACUGGGUGAAGAAGCACCGGCUAACUACGUG
This 468-nucleotide ribosomal RNA is filed under the name uncultured bacterium. RNAcentral describes it as "partial 16S ribosomal RNA". It matches the Rfam family "Bacterial small subunit ribosomal RNA", at positions 28 to 507 of the family's 1533-position model. The record is from RNAcentral.